GCCGGGAUGGCACAAUCUGGUACUGCGCAAGCCUGGAAAGCUUGUUUCCUUCGGGAUAUGUGGGUUCAAAAGUCCGGCGCUCCGGACGUGAGCGUGCGUAUCGCAAAGCGAUACACAAUUGGCUUUUCAGCCAACGGAUUUGAAAGUCCCACUCCCGGCG
This 160-nucleotide transfer RNA is filed under the name Candidatus Woesearchaeota archaeon. RNAcentral describes it as "tRNA-Ser". Lineage: Archaea; Nanobdellati; Candidatus Woesearchaeota. The record is from RNAcentral.